AACCAGGUGGCUCAGUGGUAGAGUGCUUGCCUUGCAUGCAUGAGACCCUGGUUC
RNAcentral lists this transfer RNA (54 nucleotides) under Dipodomys ordii (Ord's kangaroo rat). It matches the Rfam family "tRNA", at positions 1 to 54 of the family's 71-position model. From Rfam's summary of the family: Transfer RNA (tRNA) molecules are approximately 80 nucleotides in length. Their secondary structure includes four short double-helical elements and three loops (D, anti-codon, and T loops). The record is from Rfam by way of RNAcentral. Lineage: Eukaryota; Metazoa; Chordata; Mammalia; Rodentia; Heteromyidae.